Molecule: RNA transcript, 12576 nt
Organism: Varanus komodoensis (Komodo dragon)
Lineage: Eukaryota; Metazoa; Chordata; Lepidosauria; Squamata; Varanidae
Gene: AKAP9
Gene name: A-kinase anchoring protein 9
Exons: 53
Source: RefSeq, a predicted model, not a curated record
CCGGCCGCAUGUUUACGUGGAGAUGAAGAUGGCGGCGCCGGUGACUCCGCCGCGGAGCUGCCUGUUCUCGUGAGGGGUGGAACGUGAGAGCGAGGCGGACCGCGACUCUCUGUCGUCCAUUUUGGCGCCUUGGGGCCGGCGGCCCCUGCCUCUUAGCCCGGCGCUUGGUAACGAUUUGGUCUCUGCGCAGGGGCCAUGGAGGACGAGGAGAGGCAGAAGAAACUGGAGGCCGGCAAAGCCAAGCUUGCACAAUUUAGGCAAAGGAAGGCUCACUCUGAUGGGCAGCAUGCACACAAGAAGCAGAAAAAAAAGAAAAAGGUAUUAAAUGCCAAAGAUGAAGAAUUGGUACAAGAAGGUCUGGAUAUUAACCAGUCUCAAGGAGAAGAUGCCUCCAUAUACAGUUGUCAAAGAGGAGCUGCUGCUACAUCUGACUUUGCUAUAGUGAGGACUUUGCACAGUGAUGAUAUAAUCAAGCAUGAUCCAAUAUAUACUACAGAAUUGGAAAGUGAAAUUUCCACUACAGCGGAUGAUUAUAGCUCAGAGGUAAAUGGUUGCAGCUUUUUGACAAGAACAGCUGUAUCUGAAGAUUGUAUUAGGGAAGAAGAAUUUGGAUUUGGAGAGAAUUUUUCUGAGAAUGAGAUGCAGCAUUCUGUGACACGACUGGAGAUGAUGGAGAGUGAAUUGUCUGGAAAGCAACAAGAGAUCGAUGAGCUAAACAGAGAGCUAGAAGAAAUGAGGGCAGCUUAUGGUACAGAAGGAUUGCAACAGCUACAAGAAUUUGAAGCUGCUAUCAAAAAAAGAGAUGAUAUUAUCACACAGCUUACUGCAAAUCUACAACAAGCAAGGAAAGAAAAAGAUGAAACUAUGAGGGAAUUUUUGGAAUUGACAGAACAGAGUCAAAAAUUGCAGAUUCAAUUUCAGCAUUUGCAGGCAAGUGAAGCAUUAAGGAACACUAGUCAUAGCAGCACUGCUGCUGACUUACUCCAGGCUAAACAACAGAUACUUGCAUAUCAGCAGCAGCUAGAAGAACAAGAGCAGUUAUUGAAGAAUUAUCAGAUUAAAAACAAAGACUUUGAAAUGCAGGUUUCAUUUCUGCAGGAAAGAGUCACUGAGUUUGAAAAGGAAAAAUGCAACACUGAAGGAGAUGCAACUAAGAAGAAAUUACAGGAGAAAGAAGCAGUUAUUGAAGAAUUGGAAGCAAAAGUUCUAGAAGAGGAAGAAAAUAGAUUUAUUCUUCAGAAAACAAUAUCAGCUGCUGAGAAAUCACUAGAGGAAAUAAAAGAAGAGCUUUUUCAAAAGAACCAAGAGCUACAUAAUAUGAGAGUAGAUCUAAGCAAUUCUAAACAAAAAGAAAGACAGUGUUCUGAUGAAAUAAAACAGCUAAUGGGAACUGUGGAAGAGCUGCAAAAGCGAUGUCACAAAAAUAGUCAACAUGAAAAUGACAUUGUAGAAAGAAUGGAACUUGAAACACAAAAGAGACUUGCAGAUCUUAGGGCAGAAUUAGAGGAAGUACAUGGACAGCAGAUUGUACAUAUGAAGCAAGAAUUAGUUAGAGAACAUACAACCGAGAUUGAAAGACUUCUUGCCCAACAGAAAGCAGAUCUGGAGAGAACUUUGAAUUUACGCUCUGGUAGUACUAAUGAAGACCAAAUAAACUUAAUGAAUAUUGCAAUUAAUGAGUUAAAUCUGAUGCUGCAGGAUGCUAAUUACCAGAGAGAAAAAGUAAGGCAAGAUUUGUCCCAACAGCUUGAUCUGUUAUCCUCUGAAAAAAGUUCCCUACAAAGUCAAGUUGAGGAUCUUUGUCAAGAGCUGAGCUUUUCCAGAGAGCAAAUUCAGAGAGCCAAGCAGACUAUUCAUGAAAAAGAUUCCAAGUUACAUGAAGUAGACAUGUUGCAAAUUACUGUUGAAGAACUAAAAGCCCAGCUUGCUUCAGCUUCUGAGAUUAAGGCGGAAUUAGAAUUAAAACAUGAAGCAGAAGUUACAAAUUACAAAAUAAAACUUGAAAUGCUAGAAAGAGAAAAGGAUGCAGUUUUGGACAGAAUGGCUGAAUCUCAGGAAGCUGAACUAGAGAGAUUGAGGACUCAGCUUUUGUUUAGUCAUGAAGAAGAGCUAUCAAAACUUAGAGAAGAUUUACAGCAAGAGCACAAAAUAAACUUUGAGAAUUUUAAAGAGAAUAUGGGUAUUCAAUCUAAACAGCAGUUAGAUGAUUUGAAAAAUGAAAUGAGCAAGAAAAUAGAAGCUCUGCUGUUGGAAAAUGACAACUUAAAAUUAAAACAGAAUCAUCUCAUGCUAGAAAUAUCAAGGCUAAAAGAUUUGCAUCAGUCUAACAUAAAUUCUAAAACUGAAGAAAUGAUGCUUCAGUUCCAUGACCUCCAAAAGGAGAUAGAAGUUCUUAGACAGGAAGAAAAAGAAAAGGGUACACUUGAACAGGAAAUACAAAAGUUGCAACUUAAAACAGAAUUAUUGGAAAAGAAAAUGAAAGAGCAAAAGGAUAGUCUUCAAGAAAAAUGCACAUUGCUUGAAACACGAAAUAAUAUUCUUGAAGGUGAAAAAAGUGCCCUGCAAGAGACGUUAAAAAAAUAUGUUGUUAGCAACACAGAAGAAAGCUUGAACUUCACUGGUGGCAUGAAUUCCAAAUCAGAAGAGUUUAAUUUGCAAGAAAGAAUAGAAAAUCUGAUUGCUGCAAAUCAGAAGCUUAUAAAACAAGAUAUUGAACAUAAAGAGGAAAUUGAGAAGUUAAAAAAUUCCUUUUCAUUUAUGGAGAGAAACUUUGAACAUAAAUAUCAAGAACUCCAAGACAAACAUGCUGCCCUGCAAAAGGUAAAAUUAGAUUUAGAAGAGAACAGAAGCAAGCACGAGGUUGAAUAUAAAGCCAAGCUCCAGGCUUCAAUGGAAGAGAUUGAUGGUGAUAUGCCAGUAGUGAAAAGUCAACAUAUGGUUGUCCAUGGUAAGAAAGAAAGACUUUUAAGAUCAGAAACAUUUGAGAUUGAGGAGGUUGUAGAAAAAGACACAACAGAAUUGAUGGAAAAACUUGAGGUCACUCAGCGUGAGAAGCUAGAACUCUCACUGAGACUUUCAGAUCUUUCUGAUCAAUUAAAACUGAAGCACAAUCAAAUUUGUCAGUUGAAUGAAGAAGUUAUAUCUCUAAAACAAGAUAAAGAGCACAUUUCAGCAAGGUGUAAAGAACUAGAACAGGUAGUUAGCCACAGGCUGGAGCAGAAUACAAACUCUUGUAAACAGAAGGCAAAAUACUCCAAAGGGGAGUUACAGAAAGGCUAUUCUGAAGUUUGUGAACCUGAAAACCUUGUUUCUGAUUCAAACAAAGAAUUUGAUAGCACAAUAAGAAAAAGAAGCGAAAGACUGACUUCAAAUAGUUUGACUCAUCAAAUUCCAGUGGAAGAAGCAGUUCAACCAAAGCUGAUUUCAGGACACAAAUCACCUUCGGAUAAUUUUCACCAAAUGAAUGAUGAUUUAUUAGUUAACUUUUCAUGUGAUAGCCUUGUGCAAGGUGAAAAUGAGCUCCGGAAGCAGUUGGACAUGCUGAAAGCCGAACAGACUGAUUUAAAGCUGCAAAUGGAAGCCCAGCGCAUUUGUCUUUCUCUGGUUUAUUCUGCUCAUGUGGACCAAGUGCGCGAGUCCAUGGAAAAUGAGAAGAAGAAUGCACUUUCUGCUCUGACAGAAGAGCUCCAGUUCCAUCAUGCACAAGAGCUGUCUGAACUUAAGAAAAAUCAAAUGGAUCUUCAGGCCACAAAAAAUAAAAAAACAGAUGAAGAAGAACUGUCUACAUGGGUGCAGCUAGAAAGACUUAGUAAAACAGUAACUGAGGAAUAUUCUAAGCUAACUCAGGCACUGUGCAGCAUUCUACCUGGAAUAUUUUCAACUGCUGUUGAACCAGUUGGUGGUGAGAAAGAAACAUCUAACACAAUAUUAAUGUCAAAUGCAGAAGCUCAAGUUUUGCAAGAAACCCUACAAAGUCUUCUAAACAAGAUAAUGGAAGUGUACCACAGGCUACUGGAAUAUCAUGCACAAUUUGUGAAGGACAAUAAAAAGGUUGGAGAACAAAUGGCUUCUUUGGCAGAAAAUGAGGAGAAAGACAUUGGCAGUCUUCAACAAAAUGCAGAAUGUUUAUUUGGACCUUUGCAAGAUCUUGCUGGUAAAGAGAAGCACAUAAAACUUAAAAUUAAGUCACCACAUUGGGAAGACAUAGAAAACUUUAAAUCUCAACUUGAAAAACAGCAUGCUGAAGAAGUUGAGCAUCUUCGAUCAUAUUUCCAUCAGCAAUUGAAAGAAACUGAGGAACGAUAUACUGUGGAAAUAGUUCAUUUACAGAGUAGACUACAAGAUGUCAAUAAGUCUUCUGAAUGUUUCAGGAUUUCUGUGGAACCUCAGGUAAAUGAAGUUAAGCAGAACAAGAAACAUGAUGAAAGUGAUCUUCAGCAAAUGUCUGAGAAGGCAGUAGAGAGCUCCAAUGAAGUUGGUGUUGUUGAAUACCUGGAAAGACAGUACGAAGAAAAAUUGUUACAAGAAAUAGCAAAGGUGGUUGUAACUAUGAGUGUAGAGUUUGCACAGAAAAAUGAACUAACAAGAAUUGCUAAUCUAAAAGAGGCAGAGAAAAUGGCACUGGUGAUACAAACACAAACUCAUGAGGAAAAUAAUUCCAGUAGAAAAGAAUAUCCUGAAGAAUUAGUUAGCCAUACAAAUGAGGAGCAAGGCAUGAAGCAUGAAGAAUUCAAAUCACUUAGUAGAGAAAUCAGUGAAGAAUAUGGUGAAACUUCAUCACUUGAAAAACAGUUUCAGCCAGAUGUUAAGUCUACUGAGAUACUUGGACUACACAAUUUUGGUUCAGUGUUUCCAACAGAGCCUUUCUCAAAUGACAAAGAGCUUAUGCACAACAGAUCUCUGGUUACAAACAAAGUUCCAACCUCCAGCAUAGUAGCUUCAAGUCAGAUAUCACUGUAUGAAGAGCGUUUGGAAGAUAUGCGUCAAGAGCUUGUCCGUCAGUAUGAGGAACAUCAGCAGGCAACAGAAACCUUGAAACAGAGUCAUAUGCAGCAGAUGGAGUGGCAGAAAGAAAAUCAGGAGCAACUUCUAGCAGAACUGAGCCAGCUCAAAAUACAAUUGGCAGAGAGUGUUACACUGGAUAGUGAAAAUAUCAAUACAGAACGAGAACAAAUGCUUUUAGAUGAACUCGACUCAUUAAAGAAGCAGUUAAUACCUGGAAGAAAGAAGGAAGCCUGUGAGUUAAACAGCAGUGGAACUCAAACACAGGAUGAAAAUAUAAGUCAAACUGAAUCCAAAGAACAUACAUUAGAAGGUGAAGAUGGAGGAAAGCAUGAAGAAGCUUCUCUGGACAUCCUUUCAAAAGAAAGACAUGCCUUGCAGAAAGCUAAUACCAGAUUGAUGAAGAUUCUCUUAGAGGUUCUGAAGACAACUGUAGCUGUUGAAGAAACAAUUGGUCGUCAUGUUGUGGGACUACUAGAUUCCUCAUCAAAGUGUCAGUUAUCUUUUAAAAGUUCUCCAUGGGAGGCCAGAAUAGAGGACUCCAUCAAACCAAGCAUCUGUGUGGGAUAUGAAACAGAAAAAUUGUCUUCCUAUCAUGACAGCAGUUUAGAAGGUGAGGACAGCAGCAUGUGGUCAGAAGUUGCAGAUGAAAGCUUUGAACUCAGCCAAUACCUUGGAAUGGAGAUAGACUCAAAAAAUGAAGAGCUAGUGCUAAAUAUCAGUUCACGACUUCAGGCAGCAGUUCAGAAACUUCUGGAAACGAUCAAUGAAACCACCAAUCAGCUCAAACAUGCAAAAGUUGCACAGACAGAAUUGAUGCGAGAGUCCUUUAAACAGGAGCAAGAAGUCACUGAAUUACUCAAAAGUCAGGAAGAAUUACAAGAGCGAUUUGAUGAAGAGGUUAAAGUUAGAGAGCAGUUGGCAUUGGAACUCAGCAAAGCAGAGAAUCUUAUUGAUAGCUAUACAGAUGAAAAAUCAUUUCUGGAAAAGCAAAUCCAGGAAAAAACAGAUGCAAUUGACCAUCUUGAACAAGAACUACUUUGUACAGGUAACAAAUUACAGGAACUAGAGGCUGAGAGGCAGCAGCUUCAGGAAGAGAAGGAAUUACUCUUCAGGCAAAAGGAUGCUAUGAAUGCUGAUGCAGGACCAGUGGAACAACGCCUAGUAGAUGCUGCAGUCGAUGCAGCUUCCCAAGCAGAGCUGUUGGCAGAAACAGAGAAACUAAUGAAAGAAAAAAUAGAAGUACAGCGGCAAGCUGAAAAAGAAUAUCACUGCCUUCAGAAGCAGGUGAAGGCACUGGAAACUGAUAUAGAGGAGCAGGUCAACCGGUUUUUGGAACUAGAACAAGAAAAGAAUGCAGAACUAAUGGAUCUAAGGCAGCAGAACCAAGCUCUGGAGAAACAGCUUGAGAAAACCAAAAAAUUUCUGGAUGAACAGGCAAUUGAUAGGGAGCAUGAGAGAGAUGUGUUCCAACAAGAGAUACAAAAACUUGAGCAACAGCUUAAAAUUCCACAAAGGUUUCAGCCCAUCAGUGAACAGCAAAACAAAGAGGUUGAACAAUUAACAAAUCACCUCAAAGAAAAAACAGACAGAUGCAGUGAGCUUUUGCUCUCUAAGGAGCAACUUCAGAGAGAUGUGCAAGAACGGAAUGAAGAAAUUGAGAAAUUAGAGUGCAGAAUCAGAGAACUGGAACAAGCUUUAAUGAUCAGUGCAGACAGUUUACAAAAGGUGGAGGAAAGAAAGCAAUUUGGCUCAACAACAAUAAGGGGAGAAUUACCCCUAGAAGCACAGCUGCAGGCUGAGCAAGAAGCCGUAGACAGGAAAGAAAAGGAGAUCAUAAAUCUUGAAGAACAGUUAGAGCAGUUCCGUGAGGAACUAGAAAACAAAAAUGAAGAAGUACAACAGUUGCAUAUGCAAUUAGAAAUCCAACGAAAAGAAUCCACUACCCAACUACAAGAACUUGAGCAAGAGAAUAAAUUCUUCAAGGAGGAUAUGGAAAAACUGGAACUAGCUAUGCAGCAUCCUGAAGAUACUUCUAUAAAGAGUCAUCAUCCAGUUGCUGGAAAGUUUUUACACAUUAUACAGAACAAGGAACAAGAAUUACAUGAACUCCAUGAACAGAUUUCAAAACUGCAUCAGAAACUUGAAAUUACAACAAAUAACAAAGUGAUUGAAGAAAAAAAUGAGCACAUAACAGAACUGGAAGCCCAAAUAGAAUAUUUAAGAGGUGAUCAAGAACGUGUAAAGCAAAAUAGUGAGCAGGAAAUAGAACAGCUGAAUGAAGUUAUUGAAAAACUCCAGCAGGAACUGGCAAAUAUUGAGCACAAGAUUCCUUUGGAUCUUUCACUGACUCAGGAGGAUGCAGAUAACUUAAAACACCAGCUUGAUAUAGUGUUAGCAGAAAAUGAAUCCUUGAUGAAGCAAGUGGAAAAUAAUGAUGUCAAGUUAUCUCUUGCAAAGAGCGAACUGGAAGAGACGAAACUAAAAAUAAGCAAGUUAGAGACAGAAGUAGAUGCACUGAGGAAAGAUCAUGGAAGAAUGGGGAAAAAACAUGAAGAUAUACAGAGAAGAGGUUAUAUGGCAGAAAUAGGAGUGAAGGUAAAUGAAAAUCUUGGAGCUGUAGAUUGGAAGAAAAUGGAAAUGUUAAAAGAUGAAAUCCCACUUGGUUACAUGGGUGAAAAUGUCAAAGAAGGUUCGGAUAAUGUAGAUACAAAGUUGCAGCAGCUUCAAAAAGCUCUUAAGGAAAAGGAUUCAGAGCUAACCCAAUGUUACAAGGAGCUCAAGGUUUUAAAAGAGCAAGCGCAAGAAGACUCAGAAGUGUUUAAACAGAAAAUGAUAGAACUGGAAGAAACCCUCAAGCAAAAGGUUGCUGCAGCUCCUAUGAAUAAAGCUCAGCUGAAUGUGGUUCUAGAGCUAAGUAAAUUUCUCCCAGAAAUGCAGGCAACUUUAGGAGAUGCCAAGGAAGUUAUCAGAACUGUUACAAUGGAGAAAGUAAAUAGCACAGUUGGAGAAGAUGCAACAUCUAGAUUAUCAGAGUUAUUGGAAAAGCUUUUAGAGAUGGAAGGCCAGCUGGCAAAUGCACAGAAUAACCUGCAACUAGAAAAAAUAAAAGUAGAAACUGCACAAAAAGAAACAAAGGAAAAGGAAGAGAGACUUGCUGAACUUCAGUGGCUGUUGGCAGAAGCAGAAGAAAAGCAUAAAAAGGUGGGAAUAGAGCUGAAUGAAAAUGAACAAAUACAUGCAAUGACUGCUGAUCCAGAACUAGAGAGAGUCAGAGCUGAAUCUGCUGCCGCCAAGGAAGAGCUUAAUAGUUAUAGAGAAAAGGCAGAUAAAUUUAAGGAACAAUUAAUGGUAAAAGAAACAAGUCUGCUCCAUCUUCAAGAUGAACUACAGAAAACCAAAGAUAAGCUAGCUCAAGCAGAAGAAAAAAUUGCAGAUUAUGUCAGAAAGGAAAAGAACAUUGAAAAGUCAGAGAGAAUAUGUCCCAAUAGAACAAAUGCAUCAUGUCAGACUGAAAAAGCACUGUAUGUCCAUAGCUGCAACCAAACUUCACAGCUGCCUGUCAAAAAUGAAGGAAUCCAGAUUGAUUUACAAAAUGGGUCUUCUUCAGAGGAUGUUGCAGAAAUCAUAAGAGAAUUUAGUGAAAAAAUUGAACAAAUGCAGGAACUACACGCUGCUGAAAUAAUGGACAUGGAGACACGGCAUAUCUCAGAAUCAGAAGCACUGAAAAGAGAACAAUUUAUUCUAGUGCAGGAGUUAACAGAAGAAUGCAAUGCUUUGAAAGAUGUCAUAGAAAGCCUGAGAGAUAAGGAGGGGAUCUCCAACAUAGCACAAUCUUCUAAUGCCAGAGAUGGAUGCUCUAGUGACUCUAGUUCAGAUUGGAGCCAAGGAGGAUACCUUAUACCAGGCCAAGGAUCAGAUGCUAUAUCAGAAGGUAUAGAAGAUGAAGGUGGAACUUCCACAGAUUUUCUUCCAAAGAAAAUAAAGGGGCUACUAAGAGCUAUUCAUCAUGAAGGUGUACAGGUGCUUUCUCUCUCAGAAUUUCCUUACAAUGAAAGUGAAGUUCUGUCUCCUAAACAUGGGCCAGAAUCUUGGUUAGAAGAACGUGAGGCUUUCAUGAGCAUUGUUUCAUCUCUGAAGGAAUUAAUUGCCAAAAUGCAGAUUCACAGGGAAGCAGAGUUCUGUGCAGGAUCCGAAUCUUCUGGUGGUGUCCCAGACUGGCGAACUGAGCUUCUGAAUGCUGUUCAACAAGUCUUCCAGAAAGAGAAAGAUGUUCUUUUAGCAGCAUAUCAAACUGAAUUAGCUGAAGCAGGUGUUAGAGAUGUAAUGAUGCUAAUAAAUCAGGUGGAAAAGAAACUUCAGGAGCAGGAUACUUAUCAGAAAAAUGCUGUGGAAUAUAUUCAGAAUGCAGAUAGAAGAAGUUUGCUGGCGGAAAUCAAUUUAUUGCGUGCUCAACUAAAGAGGAAAUCUGAUCCAAAGAAGGAAUUAGAAACUGAGCCAAACUGUCAGGAGCUGCUGGGGUACAACAUGGACAUCCAAAUGGAGCUCAGUAGUACAAAAGACAGAGCAGCUGAACUUCAAGAGCUUCUGAACUCUGAGAGGAUGGUGAUUGUAGAACUAAGGAAUGAACUUGGGCAAACUAAACUAGAACUGGAAACAACACUGAAAGCACAACACAAGCAUUUAAGAGAUCUGGAAGCCAUCAGAAAUGAACUUAAGGGAAAAGCAGCUGAACUAGAUAUGCUAAAAGACACAAUGGCAAGUGAACAAAAGAAAUCAAGAGAGCUUCAGUGGACACUGGAGAAGGAGAAGGCUAAAAUAGAACGCAGUGAAGAAAGAGGAAAAGAAGAGCUUGAGGAUUUGAAAUAUUCUCUUGAAAAUGAGAAGCAGAAAGUUAAAGAAUUGAGUAAUCUUUUGGAGCUUGAGAGAGAGCUGUCAAAUGAUUUGCAAAAGAAGGUGGAAUCCCAGGAAACUCUGAACACAGCUCAGUUGUCACAGGAGCGCAGUUGUAACUCUGAGCUUCAGGUGCUCCUUGAAGCGGAGAGGUUCCGAGUUCUUGAAGUAAGCAGUGCGCUAGAAAGGGAAAAAGAAUUGUGUGCUCAGCUUCAGAUGGCUGAACAGAAAAGGCAGGGUGGAACUCUUACACCAGCUGAGGAAUUACUGCAAGAUCUGCAAAAACAAUUGGAUGAAAAGCAUGACCGUAUAGUUGCAUUGGUUAGUGAUGUGGAAAGGUAUAAAUUGGAAUCUGUGCAGCUGAAACAACAGCUAGAAAAGGAGAGACAGAUUCAGAAGAAAACUCUACAAACUGAACAAGAUGCUAACAUCAUGGCACAGAAAAAAGUACAUGAACUGGAAUCCAAGAUAGAAGAUCUUCAGUGGCAACUUGGAGAAAAGAGACAACAGGUUCACCAGCUGCAGUGUGAGGAAAAGAAAUUGCAAGAAAUCAUCCAAGAGUUACAACAAAAAGAACACAGAAAAGAGGCAGAAGUUGACAAAGGAACCUAUCAGAAUCUAAAUGAGACUGCUUGGGAUACAUCUAAUGAGCGAACAAGAAAGUGGGUUUUCCAGCAGAAAAUAGCCGGAGUUGAAGCAAAAGAAUUGUCUUGCUCUGCUGUAACUGCCAUGGAAGAAGGAGGAGGAGGAGAUGCUACCAAGGAAUGUCAAGAUCUUCAGAUGGUUAGGCAGAACCUGAGAAAUGUAUCUUCAAAGUUAAAACAACUGUCUAAAAAAGCAGCCUGCAGAUUACCAUUUGAAAAAUCAGAUGAUGAAGACUUUAUUGAGAUACAAAAUAACAUUGAAGACAGUCUCUUGCAAUUACAGAUGCUUUCUGGUUUGCUCAACUUGGAAACAGAGAUGAAUGUAGAUUUGCCAUCCACUGCUUCAUUGACUGAAAGGCUGCUGAAACAGAAUGCUGAAUUGACUGGGUUUGUCAGCCAACUAAGCGAAGAAAAGAACAAUUUGAGGAAUGUGGUCAUGAAACUGGAAAGGGAAAUUAGAAGAUACCAGCAGAGGAGGUCCUGUGGAGAUUCAACUUCUAGCUCAUCAGUGCAUGAUGGAGGAAAUGCUGAUGCACUCAUUGCUUCUGAAAGAGAGUUCUGGCACAAAGAGAAAAUGACUCUGCAGCAGUCCCUGAAGCAAGCUGAAGCAGAGUUAGGGAAACUGAAGGCGGAAUUAAGGAAUGAGUCUUUUCUGAGAGAACUGGGAUCAGAUUCAGAAAAUACUGCUUUAAAGCGAAUUUAUGGAAGAUACCUGAGAGCAGAGAGUUUUCGGAAAGCUCUCAUAUAUCAGAAGAAAUACUUGCUACUCUUGCUGGGUGGAUUUCAGGAGUGUGAAGAAGCCACCUUAUGUCUCAUUGCAAGAAUGGGUGGGCAGCCAUCCUACACAGACCUAGAGGUUAUUACACACCGAUCAAAGGCUUUUACACGGUUCCGCUCAGCAGUGAGAGUGGUAAUUGCAAUUUCAAGAAUGAAGUUCUUAGUUCGUCGAUGGCACCGAGUUACUGGAUAUAGCCUAAUAGGAAUCAACAGAGAUAGUUUUACUCAGAACACAGGCAAUGAACUAAGGUCCGAUUCAGUCACUGGUGGUCUGGAACUUUAUGGAGAACAGAGACAUUCUUACAGGUCCAGAUCAGAGCUGGAGUUUUUCAGAUCUCCCUUUGGUUAUCAACAUAGCCCAAGGUACCAGAGUAUCAAUGCAGAUUUAAGCCCAGUUUCUUUCACAAGUUCUCAGCUGCAGAAUUAUGAUCCUGACAGAGCUUUAACUGAUUAUAUUAGUCGUCUGGAGGCUCUACAGAGGCGGCUUGGCAGUGUACAUUCAGCAUCUGCAUCCUACACUCAACUGCACUCUGGUACCCGAAGAUAGACCUCACAACAUUUUUGCCACUGCUAGUGACAUCAAAAGAAAUGCCUUCUGCAAAUCUGUGCUGCUGCUGCUGCUACUGCUGCUGUGCUUUUCUGUGUAUACUGUGGGACCAACACAAACACAGCUCAACAAUUGUGUGCAGUUCACCUUGCUGGCUCCUCUACAAAAUCUGGAACUUGUGUAUAUAGUUAUGCUCCAUCAUCUCUGAUUUAUGGGGGUCUAUCAAGAAACGACCUACAAACUGUCCUGUCCCUGACAGCCCUACUCAGCUCUUGUCAACUCAAAGCUGUGGCUCCCUUUAUGGAAUUGACCCAUCUCAUAGUUGGACUUCCCUCUCUUUUAUACUACUACUGGCAGAGAAUUCACAGAAAACUACUGAGGAACAAUGAAAACUACUGAGAAACUACUGAGAAAGGCCUGGUGCACAAUUUUCAUUUAUGGAAAGAAGUGGACAAAUGAGCAUUUGGAGCAGGUGCAAAGUGCCCGUCAGUUCUUCAGAGUAUCCAAAAGCUUGGGCAGAGGAAUGUUCCACAGAUGGAGCACUUCCUCUCAGAGGAGGCAGAUCCUGAAUACAACCUUGCAAAAAAUUGCACAAUUUCACAAUGUCUGUUUGAUUCUUUGAUGCAAAUGACUGCUAUCUUCAGCUAGAGCCUUUUUAAAAUUAGUUUAGAAUGGAACUUCACUAGGAAUUAAAAAGCUUAAAUACAAAAUCUA